UUUCUUUUUGGGCAGAGUACCCCGUAGAGCUAAGGGAGGUUUCGCUUUCCGUCGCCAUGUUAAGUUCAGGCAACGGCUUCAGAGGUCAGUGGUGCUCUAGUCCUGGGAUCACCUGAGAUCGAGACCAAACUUUGCUCCCUCGACCAGAGGGCCGGGCUAGCGAGGCUGAGGCGCGGACCAUCCCAGUCACUAAGAGAUAUCCUAUUGGAAUCAAUAUUGAUGGGAUCUAACAAGCUUAUUGUUAAGUGUAGGAACUUUGCUGUGUUAGUAGAUCUUCAUAUUUUGCCUCAAGGCUCAAGAAAAGAAACCAGCUGGUUUUCAGAACAGAUGAAAAAGGUACAACAAAAAUUCCAAUUUUAAGGACAAAAUGACUAUGGGAGAAAACAUUGCCUAGCACUAAUCUGCUUAGAUUCUACUUUACUAAUUAGGUAAAAAUGAUAAAGAUAAUGCCUAAGCUUGAAAAAUCCUACUGUAGCACUCUUAUUUCCCCCAAGAAAUAUUUUGUUGUUUCUCA
This 514-nucleotide long non-coding RNA is filed under the name Vombatus ursinus (common wombat). RNAcentral describes it as "lncRNA (ENSVURG00010007448.1)". Lineage: Eukaryota; Metazoa; Chordata; Mammalia; Diprotodontia; Vombatidae. The record is from RNAcentral.